GUUAAUCGGAAUUACUGGGCGUAAAGCGCACGCAGGCGGUUUGUUAAGUCAGAUGUGAAAUCCCCGGGCUCAACCUGGGAACUGCAUCUGAUACUGGCAAGCUUGAGUCUCGUAGAGGGGGGUAGAAUUCCAGGUGUAGCGGUGAAAUGCGUAGAGAUCUGGAGGAAUACCGGUGGCGAAGGCGGCCCCCUGGACGAAGACUGACGCUCAGGUGCGAAAGCGUGGGGAGCAAACAGGAUUAGAUACCCUGGUAGUCCACGCCGUAAACGAUGUCGACUUGGAGGUUGUGCCCUUGAGGCGUGGCUUCCGGAGCUAACGCGUUAAGUCGACCGCCUGGGGAGUACGGCCGCAAGGUUAAAACUCAAAUGAAUUGACGGGGGCCCGCACAAGCGGUGGAGCAUGUGGUUUAAUUCGAUGCAACGCGAAGAACC
RNAcentral lists this ribosomal RNA (431 nucleotides) under Escherichia coli. Its description in RNAcentral is "bacterial SSU rRNA". It matches the Rfam family "Bacterial small subunit ribosomal RNA", at positions 540 to 970 of the family's 1533-position model. Lineage: Bacteria; Pseudomonadati; Pseudomonadota; Gammaproteobacteria; Enterobacterales; Enterobacteriaceae. The record is from RNAcentral.